This 537-nucleotide ribosomal RNA is filed under the name Campylobacter coli. RNAcentral's name for it is "partial 23S ribosomal RNA". It matches the Rfam family "Bacterial large subunit ribosomal RNA", at positions 1 to 559 of the family's 2925-position model. The record is from RNAcentral. Lineage: Bacteria; Pseudomonadati; Campylobacterota; Epsilonproteobacteria; Campylobacterales; Campylobacteraceae.
AGGUAAGCUACUAAGAGCGAAUGGUGGAUGCCUUGACUGGUAAAGGCGAUGAAGGACGUACUAGACUGCGAUAAGCUACGGGGAGCUGUCAAGAAGCUUUGAUCCGUAGAUUUCCGAAUGGGGCAACCCAAUGUAUAGAGAUAUACAUUACCUAUAUAGGAGCGAACGAGGGGAAUUGAAACAUCUUAGUACCCUCAGGAAAAGAAAUCAAUAGAGAUUGCGUCAGUAGCGGCGAGCGAAAGCGUAAGAGGGCAAACCCAGUGCUUGCACUGGGGGUUGUAGGACUGCAAUGUGCAAGAGGUGAGUUUAGCAGAACAUUCUGGAAAGUAUAGCCAUAGAGGGUGAUAGUCCCGUAUGCGAAAAACAAACCUUAGCUAGCAGUAUCCUGAGUAGGGCGGGACACGAGAAAUCCUGUCUGAAGCUGGGUCGACCACGAUCCAACCCUAAAUACUAAUACCAGAUCGAUAGUGCACAAGUACCGUGAGGGAAAGGUGAAAAGAACUGAGGUGAUCAGAGUGAAAUAGAACCUGAAACCAU